GGACGGGUGAGUAAUGCCUAGGAAAUUGCCCUGAUGUGGGGGAUAACCAUUGGAAACGAUGGCUAAUACCGCAUGAUGCCUACGGGCCAAAGAGGGGGACCUUCGGGCCUCUCGCGUCAGGAUAUGCCUAGGUGGGAUUAGCUAGUUGGUGAGGUAAGGGCUCACCAAGGCGACGAUCCCUAGCUGGUCUGAGAGGAUGAUCAGCCACACUGGAACUGAGACACGGUCCAGACUCCUACGGGAGGCAGCAGUGGGGAAUAUUGCACAAUGGGCGCAAGCCUGAUGCAGCCAUGCCGCGUGUGUGAAGAAGGCCUUCGGGUUGUAAAGCACUUUCAGUCGUGAGGAAGGUAGUGUAGUUAAUAGCUGCAUUAUUUGACGUUAGCGACAGAAGAAGCACCGGCUAACUCCGUGCCAGCAGCCGCGGUAAUACGGAGGGUGCGAGCGUUAAUCGGAAUUACUGGGCGUAAAGCGCAUGCAGGUGGUUUGUUAAGUCAGAUGUGAAAGCCCGGGGCUCAACCUCGG
RNAcentral lists this ribosomal RNA (522 nucleotides) under Vibrio parahaemolyticus. RNAcentral describes it as "bacterial SSU rRNA". It matches the Rfam family "Bacterial small subunit ribosomal RNA", at positions 100 to 618 of the family's 1533-position model. The record is from RNAcentral. Lineage: Bacteria; Pseudomonadati; Pseudomonadota; Gammaproteobacteria; Vibrionales; Vibrionaceae.